RNAcentral lists this ribosomal RNA (768 nucleotides) under uncultured Corynebacterium sp. RNAcentral's name for it is "bacterial SSU rRNA". It matches the Rfam family "Bacterial small subunit ribosomal RNA", at positions 24 to 778 of the family's 1533-position model. The record is from RNAcentral. Lineage: Bacteria; Bacillati; Actinomycetota; Actinomycetes; Mycobacteriales; Corynebacteriaceae.
UCAGGACGAACGCUGGCGGCGUGCUUAACACAUGCAAGUCGAACGGAAAGGCCUGCUUUCCCUUGUGGAUUGCGGGUGCUCGAGUGGCGAACGGGUGAGUAACACGUGAGUGAUCUGCCCCCAACUUGGGUAUAAGCCUGGGAAACUGGGUCUAAUUCCCGAUAGGACUGCAGGGUGGUGCCUGUGGUGGAAAACGUUUUCUAGUGGUUGGGGAUGAGCUCGCGGCCUAUCAGCUUGUUGGUGGGGUAAUGGCCUACCAAGGCGGCGACGGGUAGCCGGCCUGAGAGGGUGGACGGCCACAUUGGGACUGAGAUACGGCCCAGACUCCUACGGGAGGCAGCAGUGGGGAAUAUUGCACAAUGGGCGGAAGCCUGAUGCAGCGACGCCGCGUGGGGGAUGACGGCCUUCGGGUUGUAAACUCCUUUCGACCGCGAGGAAGCCACCUGGUUGGAAGGGUGGUGACGGUAGUGGUAGAAGAAGCACCGGCUAACUACGUGCCAGCAGCCGCGGUAAUACGUAGGGUGCGAGCGUUGUCCGGAUUUACUGGGCGUAAAGAGCUCGUAGGUGGCUUGUCGCGUCGUCUGUGAAAGUCUGGGGCUUAACUCCGGGUGUGCAGGCGAUACGGGCUGGCUUGAGUGCUGUAGGGGAGACUGGAAUUCCUGGUGUAGCGGUGGAAUGCGCAGAUAUCAGGAGGAACACCGAUGGCGAAGGCAGGUCUCUGGGCAGUCACUGACGCUGAGGAGCGAGAGCAUGGGUAGCGAACAGGAU